CGGAUAUAGUUUAUUGGUAGAACGCCGGCUUCCCAAGCCGACGAGGCGGGUUCGAUUCCCGUUAUCCG
This 68-nucleotide transfer RNA is filed under the name uncultured Ruminiclostridium sp. It matches the Rfam family "tRNA". From Rfam's summary of the family: Transfer RNA (tRNA) molecules are approximately 80 nucleotides in length. Lineage: Bacteria; Bacillati; Bacillota; Clostridia; Eubacteriales; Oscillospiraceae. The record is from RNAcentral.